AUACGGAGGGUGCAAGCGUUAUUCGGAAUCACUGGGCGUAAAGGGUGCGUAGGCGGUUUGAUAAGUCUGAUGUGAAAUCCUAUGGCUCAACCAUAGAACUGCAUUGGAAACUGUCAGACUAGAAUACUGAAGGGGCAGAUGGAAUUAGUGGUGUAGGGGUAAAAUCCGUAGAUAUCACUAGGAAUACCGAAAGCGAAAGCGAUCUGCUGGGAAGUUAUUGACGCUGUGGCACGAAAGCGUGGGGAGCAAACGGGAUUAGAAACCCUUGUAGUCC
This 274-nucleotide ribosomal RNA is filed under the name uncultured bacterium. RNAcentral's name for it is "partial 16S ribosomal RNA". It matches the Rfam family "Bacterial small subunit ribosomal RNA", at positions 523 to 796 of the family's 1533-position model. The record is from RNAcentral.